Molecule: ribosomal RNA, 159 nt
Filed under: Kondoa phyllada
Lineage: Eukaryota; Fungi; Basidiomycota; Agaricostilbomycetes; Agaricostilbales; Kondoaceae
Description: 5.8S rRNA
Rfam family: 5.8S ribosomal RNA
About the family: 5.8S ribosomal RNA (5.8S rRNA) is a component of the large subunit of the eukaryotic ribosome. It is transcribed by RNA polymerase I as part of the 45S precursor that also contains 18S and 28S rRNA.
Source: RNAcentral
CAACUUUCAGCAACGGAUGUCUUGGCUCUCGCAUCGAUGAAGAACGCAGCGAAAUGCGAUACGUAAUGUGAAUUGCAGAACUCAGUGAAUCAUCGAAUUUUUGAACGCACCUUGCGCUCUGUGGUUAUUCCGCAGAGCAUGCUUGUUUGAGUGUCGCGA